This 59-nucleotide ribosomal RNA is filed under the name Berkeleyomyces basicola. Its description in RNAcentral is "partial 25S ribosomal RNA". The record is from RNAcentral. Lineage: Eukaryota; Fungi; Ascomycota; Sordariomycetes; Microascales; Ceratocystidaceae.
UUGACCUCGGCAUCAGGUAGGAAUACCCGCUGAACUUAAGCAUAUCAAUAAGCGGAGGA